RNAcentral lists this long non-coding RNA (385 nucleotides) under Vigna radiata. RNAcentral's name for it is "long non-coding RNA (VRAD_LNC016396)". The record is from RNAcentral. Lineage: Eukaryota; Viridiplantae; Streptophyta; Magnoliopsida; Fabales; Fabaceae.
UCGCAUUCAAUUUGGGGCUUUAGGGAUUGUUCUGAUGAUCGUGAUUAGGGGUGGGUUUACCUCCUUUCCGUUUCUUGAAUUUGAUUUCGCGAUUCUGGGUUCAGUGGUGGUUAUUGUUAGAUGCACAGGUGGCGCCAAUGGAGGGCUGAAGGAUGCCGCCAUAGGGUGGCGACGGGCGUUGGCAGUUCCAUUUUGACUGAGGAGUCCUUGGUUUGGGUUGGGCAGGCAAUUUUGGUUUGACUGAAAAAUUUGGGUUGGAUUAACUAAUUGGAUUAACCUUUACUUAAACUUAAAGCAUGCGUUUUUUUAUUUUAUUUUAAUCCUAAACAAAUAAUUUAAGUCUACGUUAUUAAGUGGUUAUGUGCCACGUGUUUUGGAAAAUGAC